RNAcentral lists this ribosomal RNA (523 nucleotides) under uncultured bacterium. RNAcentral's name for it is "bacterial SSU rRNA". It matches the Rfam family "Bacterial small subunit ribosomal RNA", at positions 355 to 896 of the family's 1533-position model. The record is from RNAcentral.
UGGGGAAUAUUGGACAAUGGGCGCAAGCCUGAUCCAGCCAUGCCGCGUGAGUGAUGAAGGCCUUCGGGUUGUAAAGCUCUUUUGGCGGGGACGAUGAUGACGGUACCCGCAGAAUAAGCCCCGGCUAACUUCGUGCCAGCAGCCGCGGUAAGACGAAGGGGGCUAGCGUUGUUCGGAAUUACUGGGCGUAAAGCGAGUGUAGGUGGUUAUCCAAGUUGGAUGUGAAAGCCUUGAGCUUAACUCAUGAAAUGCAUUCAGGACUGGAUGGCUAGAGGACCGGAGAGGAUAGUGGAAUUCCCAGUGUAGUGGUGAAAUACGUAGAGAUUGGGAAGAACACCAGUGGCGAAGGCGGCUAUCUGGACGGUUUCUGACACUAAGACUCGAAAGCGUGGGGAGCAAACAGGAUUAGAUACCCUGGUAGUCCACGCCGUAAACGAUGUGUGCUAGACGUCGGGAGGCUUGCCUCUCGGUGUCGCAGCUAACGCGAUAAGCACACCGCCUGGGGAGUACGGCCGCAAGGUUA